AGUCCAUAGUGAGGACACUUUUUCAACAAAUUCUUAAUUCUCUCUCAUGUAUCAUAAAGUGUUUCAAUAUCAAACUGAAAAAAUGAAGAAAUGUUAUUCAUCAACUU
Small nucleolar RNA from Gossypium arboreum, 107 nucleotides. It matches the Rfam family "Plant small nucleolar RNA R71". From Rfam's summary of the family: R71 is a member of the C/D box family of snoRNAs containing the C (UGAUGA) and D (CUGA) box motifs. Lineage: Eukaryota; Viridiplantae; Streptophyta; Magnoliopsida; Malvales; Malvaceae. The record is from Rfam.